AAUCAAACUCGAAUUAAUUUAUUAAAAUGCAAUGAUGAGGGUAACACAUUUUUUAGUUAAAUUUACAAAAUAUGUGAAUUAAAAUAAUGAUAAGUGCUAUGAAUAAGAUAUUAAUUUAUGCAUUAUUUAGCACUUAUCAAGAGGUAAUCGAACAAUUGGCCAGGUAAGCAGGUGGGAGGCUCCCCUUACUCAGAGAGUAAGGUCCUAAUUAAGUAACCAC
RNAcentral lists this long non-coding RNA (220 nucleotides) under Phoenix dactylifera (date palm). RNAcentral's name for it is "long non-coding RNA (PDAC_LNC016845)". Lineage: Eukaryota; Viridiplantae; Streptophyta; Magnoliopsida; Arecales; Arecaceae. The record is from RNAcentral.